This 72-nucleotide transfer RNA is filed under the name Camelus bactrianus (Bactrian camel). It matches the Rfam family "tRNA". From Rfam's summary of the family: Transfer RNA (tRNA) molecules are approximately 80 nucleotides in length. Their secondary structure includes four short double-helical elements and three loops (D, anti-codon, and T loops). The record is from Rfam by way of RNAcentral. RNAcentral also lists the same sequence under 2 other names. Lineage: Eukaryota; Metazoa; Chordata; Mammalia; Artiodactyla; Camelidae.
GAGGGUACAGCUCAGUGGUAGAGUGUAUGCUUAGCAAGCAUGAGGUCCUGGGUUCAAUCCCAGGUACCUCCA